GACGAACGCUGGCGGCGUGCUUAACACAUGCAAGUCGAACGGAAAGGCCCUGCUUGCAGGGUACUCGAGUGGCGAACGGGUGAGUAACACGUGGGUGAUCUGCCCUGCACUUCGGGAUAAGCCUGGGAAACUGGGUCUAAUACCGGAUAGGAGCCAUUUUUAGUGUGAUGGUUGGAAAGUUUUUUUCGGUGUAGGAUGAGCUCGCGGCCUAUCAGCUUGUUGGUGGGGUAAUGGCCUACCAAGGCGGCGACGGGUAGCCGGCCUGAGAGGGUGGACGGCCACAUUGGGACUGAGAUACGGCCCAGACUCCUACGGGAGGCAGCAGUGGGGAAUAUUGCACAAUGGGCGCAAGCCUGAUGCAGCGACGCCGCGUGGGGGAUGACGGCCUUCGGGUUGUAAACUCCUUUCGCUAGGGACGAAGCUUUUUGUGACGGUACCUAGAUAAGAAGCACCGGCUAACUACGUG
Molecule: ribosomal RNA, 466 nt
Filed under: uncultured bacterium
Lineage: Bacteria
Description: partial 16S ribosomal RNA
Rfam family: Bacterial small subunit ribosomal RNA
Source: RNAcentral